CCUACGGGAGGCAGCAGUGAGGAAUUUUGCACAAUGGGGGAAACCCUGAUGCAGCGACGCCGCGUGCGGGAUGAAGGGGCUUUGCCUUGUAAACCGCUGUCGGAUGGGAAAAAAAGUCUCCUCGGGAGACUGGGAUUGUACCAUCAAAGGAAGGACCGGCUAACUACGUGCCAGCAGCCGCGGUAAUACGUAGGGUCCAAGCGUUGUCCGGAUUUACUGGGUAUAAAGGGUGCGCAGGCGGAUCUGUGCGUCGGAGGUUAAAGACCCGGGCUCAACCCGGGAAGUGCCUUCGAUACGGCAGAUCUUGAGUACGAGAGAGGAUAGUAGAAUUCCUGGUGUAGCGGUGAAAUGCGUAGAUAUCAGGAGGAAUACCAGUGGCGAAGGCGGCUAUCUGGCUCGUAACUGACGCUUAGGCACGAAAGCGUGGGGAUCAAACAGGAUUAGAUACCCUGGUAGUCCACGCCCUAAACGAUGUAUGCUUGGUGUUAGGCUUCUAAAGCUUAGUGCCGGAGAAAAUUCGUUAAGCAUACCACCUGGGGAGUACGAUCGCAAGGUUGAAACUCAAAGGAAUUGACGG
This 577-nucleotide ribosomal RNA is filed under the name uncultured bacterium. Its description in RNAcentral is "bacterial SSU rRNA". It matches the Rfam family "Bacterial small subunit ribosomal RNA", at positions 338 to 916 of the family's 1533-position model. The record is from RNAcentral.